CAGCAGCCACGGGAAUACGUAGGGUGCAAGCGUUAAUCGGAAUUACUGGGCGUAAAGCGUGCGCAGUCGGUUCUAUAAGACAGAUGUGAAAUCCCCGGGCUCAACCUGGGAACUGCAUUUGUGACUGUAGAGCUGGAGUGCGGCAGAGGGGGAUGGAAUUCCGCGUGUAGCAGUGAAAUGCGUAGAUAUGCGGAGGAACACCGAUGGCGAAGGCAAUCCCCUGGGCCUGCACUGACGCUCAUGCACGAAAGCGUGGGGAGCAAACAGGAUUAGAUACCCCCGUAGUCCCUGUCUCUUAUAC
RNAcentral lists this ribosomal RNA (301 nucleotides) under uncultured bacterium. RNAcentral describes it as "partial 16S ribosomal RNA". It matches the Rfam family "Bacterial small subunit ribosomal RNA", at positions 509 to 807 of the family's 1533-position model. The record is from RNAcentral.